UUCUAACUGCCUGGCCCAGGGUUUAAACCCUGGCUUGCAGGCACCACCUAGGCUUUACUCAUGCUAUCAAUAUUUUGUUAGGCAACAAAGCUAUACCAGAGUCAGUAUUCACCAGCAUGCAUGGCAAAUGACCUUGAAAAGAUUAUUAUUAAGCUAAUGAUGUAUUUCUCCAUUAACAAGCCUAUCCCUAUGAGGGGAGAGAGCAGUCUACUUCUAGAGGCUUAGCUCCCCAGUUUGAGCAGUGUUUGCAUAGAAAACCCUGCAGUUCUGGCUUCCUACUAGUAAGAGGUACUGAGGGGCUGCUUUCCUGAUGGCUACUUCACAGCAAGGCAAGGUGUCUGCUCCACAGAUAGCUGCCCCCUCAUCCAGCUCUGUGCCUUUCACUACAAAACAAGAGAGGGCAGAAGGAGGAAGUGUGGGAGAUGCUCCUGGGGCAGGGGCUUCCAAGAGGCUGAGGAGAAGGAGGAGGUGGAAGAAGCUGCCAAGAAAAGUCACAGUUGAGAAUAUGGUAUCAAGUUUUCGAGUUUCUGAACUACAAGUGUUGUUGGGCUUUGCUGGACGUAAUAAAAGUGGGCGCAAACAUGACCUCCUGAUGAGGGCACUGCAUUUAUUGAAGAGUGGCUGCAGCCCAGCAGUUCAAAUUAAAAUCCGAGAGCUCUAUAGACGUCGGUACCCAAGGACAAUUGAAAGUCUGUCUGACCUGUCACCUGUAAAACCUUCAGUUUUCAAUUUGGAUAGUAGCUCCUCUCCUGUGGAACCUGACUUGGCUGUUUCUGGAAUCCACCCACUACCUUCUACUUCAGUCACCCCUCAAUCCCCUUCAUCGCCUGUUGGUUCUGUGCUGCUUCAAGACACUAAGCCUCACUUUGAGAUGCAGCAACCAUCACCUCCAAUUCCACCUGUCCAUCCUGAUGUUCAGCUAAAAAGCCUCCCAUUUUAUGAUGUGCUUGAUGUUCUCAUUAAACCUACAAGUUUAGUACAGAGCAGUAUUCAGAGGUUCCAAGAGAAGUUUUUUAUCUUUGCUUUAACACCUCAGCAAGUCAGAGAAAUCUGCAUUUCCAGGGACUUCUUGCCAGGGGGCAGGAGGGACUACACAGUCCAAGUUCAGCUAAGGUUAUGCUUAGCAGAGACUAGCUGCCCUCAAGAAGAUAACUAUCCCAAUAGUUUGUGCAUUAAAGUAAAUGGGAAGUUAUUUCCAUUGCCGGGAUAUGCUCCACCACCAAAAAAUGGAAUUGAGCAGAAGCGACCCGGCCGCCCAUUGAAUAUUACAUCUCUAGUUAGAUUAUCAUCAGCAGUGCCAAAUCAGAUCUCCAUUUCUUGGGCAUCUGAAAUUGGAAAGAAUUACUCCAUGUCUGUAUAUCUUGUUCGGCAGCUCACUUCAGCCAUGCUUUUGCAGAGGUUAAAAAUGAAAGGUAUCAGAAACCCAGACCAUUCCAGAGCACUAAUUAAAGAAAAGCUUACUGCCGAUCCUGAUAGUGAAAUUGCCACAACCAGUUUGCGGGUAUCUCUGAUGUGUCCUCUGGGAAAAAUGAGACUGACAAUCCCAUGCCGUGCUGUUACCUGCACACAUCUGCAAUGUUUUGAUGCUGCUCUUUACCUACAAAUGAAUGAAAAGAAACCCACCUGGAUUUGUCCUGUCUGUGACAAAAAGGCAGCUUAUGAGAGUUUAAUAUUAGAUGGGCUCUUUAUGGAAAUCCUUAAUGAAUGUUCAGAUGUGGAUGAGAUUAAAUUUCAAGAGGAUGGUUCUUGGUGUCCUAUGAGGCCUAAGAAGGAAGCCCUGAAAGUGUCCAGUCCUCAGUCUACCAAAAUAGAAAGUUCCAGUGUUGUCAGCAAACCAUGUUCUGUGACAGUGGCCAAUGAAUUAAACAAGAAGAAAGUAGAUGUUAUCGACUUGACAAUAGAAAGCUCUUCUGAUGAAGAGGAAGAUCCUCCUGCCAAAAGGAAAUGCCUAUUUAUGUCUGAAACGCAAGGAAGCCCAACCAAAGGGUUUGUUAAUUUUAAAGUUAGUUGUUAUUCUGUAAUGUCUCAGAUAAGCUAACAUGUGGAUGGACUUGUAAGUAUCUCUUCGGGAUGCAGUUCCAAAUUUCCACAUCAGAACUUCUGUUAGGCUACUUCUUGCAGAAGGCUGUAUUAAUAUAUGGUAUCUUCGUACAGGUGAUUAUUUUAUAUAGUUUUACAUCACACAGAGAUUUGCCCUCACUUGCUGUGUAUGCAGUAAUGUACUCUCUUGGUGUGAUAGCUGUGGUAGUGGGGGUUCCCUGUGCGAAAUGCUAAUGCGUUCCUGCUAAACUAGCUUUCAUUUAAGGGUUGAAAAUACCACAAAUAGUAAAGGGCCUGCCUCCUGAAUACCUGUAGUGCUGUUUCAUUGAUAUGCUUAAGUCCAGCAUGUCAGCCUUGGAAGGGAAACCCUAUACUGUGUUGAAUCAACUCCUAGAUUUUCCUUCCAAAGUCUGCAUGCAGCUGAAUUUCUUAAACCUGAUCAUCAGCCAGAAGAGAGACAGAAAACACUGUGUGUGAGAGAGGAAAGUUAAGUGGGAUAUAGUUAAAGGCAAUGGGAGUUAAGGACCAAAAAACAACAACCACCCCAGAGGUUGGCGGAGAUGGCAAAAAGCCAUCCUGCUAAAAACAAGAAGGCCGUAUUCACUCCUGGUUACAAUUCUGUUGCUUUAGUAGAGUUACAAGGGGGAUGGAUUUUGUUCAGUGGCUCUUGUCAGGCACAGUCAGAAGUGCUGCUUCCUAAAAGUUCUCUUAUCUCCUCAUCCCCAUGUUUUUCCCAGGUGGACACAGGAUUCCUAACUUCCAGUGAAGUUCUUACCAUUAUCAACAUUUCUUUCCCUUCUGGGUCCCUCCCAUUUUUUACAUCACUCAACUGCAGUCCCUGACUACAACUUCCCAUCAGGGCUUUUCAGUUGGAGUACUUUGGGGGCCUGAGAGACUUUCAGAUACUCAUCUAAAGAAGGGGAAUAUUUGUUAGGCUGACCAUUAUUAGAGCUGAGCAUUGCUCCACCAACCCAUUCCAGAGGGUCAACCUUCUGGCAUUUCUGACUGGUCACGAUCAAAUUUCCUACAACAUUUGAGAGUCACAGCAUAGUCACUCAUGUCUUUCCUCAAGUAAAUUCUUCACCCCAUGCCCAAAACUUACUACUUUUCUCCCUUCUGCCACCUGAUGAAGUAUUGAGCAUGCCCUGUUCACGCUGCAGCAACGGGUGUUUACUGCUCUUUUGCAAGUCUAUAGUUGAAAUUACUUUUUCAUAGAUUUCCAGUGGUGACCCUCUUUGAAUUCCCAUCACUUGUUGUGAGAGCAGCAGAGGAGUCAGACUUCUUCCCCUCUCAGUACUGAUUGCAAAUGUAAAUAGUCCUAAAUAUCUUCAGGAAAGAAUAGGUUUAAUAGUAACCUCAGAUGCCAGUGACUUCCUUUCAUAGUGCUGCUGCCGCCACUUUUUGGCAAGAUGGGUGCAACCAGCCAUAUGUUUGUCCUAUGUUGGUCUGAAGUAUUCCUGUCUGUUUUCUGAGCACAAAAACAUCAGCUCUACUUCUGUAGAAUUAAGGUGUCUCUUAAGCCAUAUUUUCAGUGUCUAGAAAUGUGUGCAUUGUGGCAUCUUUCGUGUGUAAAUUUCUAUCAUUGACUUGAGGUUACAAAAAGAUCUUCAAAUAUUUGAGGGGAUAGUUGGCCCAGUGAGUUACUGUACUGUCUUGGACCUUUGCAGAGCUGAAUUUAACUCUUGCUUUAAGUUGUGAAUGAAGAUGAGUUUGGUCUUUUCAUACCACACAUUGGUAAGAGAGGACUGAUAAAUGCUGGACCAACUUUGUGGCACUAGAGAUCAGCAUUGAGAAACAUGGGCGUAGCGAUACGUGGGGAAGCUUAAACAAGUGCCAGCUUGUUCGUGGCUCCAGCUAGUUCUGUCAGUUCCUCACUUCCCCCAGAGUACUUAAUUCACUUACAAAUAUCCAUUUAUAUUCCUGGAUGAUAGUGUUAUAAAUGACCUGAAGCACUGUACUUUGUUUUAAUGCCAGCUUGCUCCUAUGUCACAGCUGCUGUUGAGAGCCAAGAUACGUUCAUGUUAUAAUGAAGACUGUUAUGAAAGAGGAGAUUAGAGUGGAAUACUGUGUAGUGAGUAGCCACACUAUAGUUGUGUUGUAACAUAGUGACUUUGUGAAUGAGAAUGCACUGUGGUGCAGAAUUUCUCUCCUCUUAACUAACAGCCAGAUUGUUUUUGUAAUUUCCCAUGCUGUUUAAAACAGGGUUCUCAUGUAUCAGCCAUCUACUGUAAGAGUGCCCAGUGUGACAACGGUUGAUCCUGCUGCUAUUCCUCCUUCAUUAACAGACUACUCAGUACCAUUCCACCACUCACAGAUAUCCAGUAUGUCAUCAGACUUGCCA
This is an RNA transcript of Chelonia mydas (Green sea turtle), 4381 nucleotides long. It is a transcript of the gene named protein inhibitor of activated STAT 2, with no coding region annotated. The record is from RefSeq and is a predicted model, not a curated record. Lineage: Eukaryota; Metazoa; Chordata; Testudines; Cheloniidae. The transcript is spliced from 12 exons.